CAUUUCCUACGGGAGGCAGCAGUGAGGAAUAUUGGUCAAUGGGCGGGAGCCUGAACCAGCCAUGCCGCGUGAAGGCGAGUGCCCUACGGGCGUUAAACUUCUUUUGUGCGGGAGCAAUAAGGGCCACGUGUGGCCCGAUGAGAGUACCGCACGAAUAAGCAUCGGCUAACUCCGUGCCAGCAGCCGCGGUAAUACGGGGGAUGCGAGCGUUAUCCGGAUUUAUUGGGUUUAAAGGGUGCGUAGGCGGAUUUUUAAGUCAGCGGUAAAAUGUCCGGGCUCAACCCGGGCCGGCCGUUGAAACUGGG
Molecule: ribosomal RNA, 305 nt
Filed under: uncultured bacterium
Lineage: Bacteria
Description: bacterial SSU rRNA
Rfam family: Bacterial small subunit ribosomal RNA
Source: RNAcentral